This 425-nucleotide ribosomal RNA is filed under the name uncultured bacterium. RNAcentral's name for it is "partial 16S ribosomal RNA". It matches the Rfam family "Bacterial small subunit ribosomal RNA", at positions 354 to 796 of the family's 1533-position model. The record is from RNAcentral.
GUGGGGAAUAUUGGACAAUGGGGGAAACCCUGAUCUAGCCAUGCCGCGUGAGCGAUGAAGGCCUUAGGGUUGUAAAGCUCUUUCAGCUGGGAAGAUAAUGACUGUACCAGCAGAAGAAGCCCCGGCUAACUCCGUGCCAGCAGCCGCGGUAAUACGGAGGGGGCUAGCGUUGUUCGGAAUUACUGGGCGUAAAGCGCACGUAGGCGGACCGGAAAGUCAGAGGUGAAAUCCCAGGGCUCAACCUUGGAACUGCCUUUGAAACUCCUGGUCUUGAGGUCGAGAGAGGUGAGUGGAAUUCCGAGUGUAGAGGUGAAAUUCGUAGAUAUUCGGAGGAACACCAGUGGCGAAGGCGGCUCUCUGGCUCGAUACUGACGCUGAGGUGCGAAAGCGUGGGGAGCAAACAGGAUUAGAAACCCGUGUAGUCC